UAAGUUUUUGGUCCCUAUAAAUAUUUGCAGUUUUGUUUUUAGUCCCUAUAAAAAUAAAUCACACUUUUUAGUCCCUACAAAAUUUUCUGUUAGUGUUUUUAGUCCCUGUUAAAUUAAAAUUUGUUUAAUUAUGCUUAAACUUCUAAAUUUUUGAAAGAUAUUUUACAUACAUGUUCAUAACAUCGUAAGACACUCUUUUGUAAUUUUUUUUUAAUUUUUUAACAUGUAAUGAAUUAAAUAUGAAUUUUUCUAAAAGCCAAAUUUUCAAGAUUAUAUUAACGAAAAUUUGGACCUAAUAAUAAAAUUUUAAGUUACUUUUUUGCGGAGGAACUUUGUAUAAUAUUCUAAGUAAGUAUGUAAAAAAUAUGUUACAAAUUUAAAAGUUUAAGCACAAUUAAGCAAAUUUUAAUUUUACAAGGACUAAAAGUAUGUGUUGGUCCCUGUUAAAUUGAAAUUUGUUUAAUUAUACUUAAAAUUUUAUAUUUUUAAAUGAUUUUUAACAGACAUGUUAAGAACAUUAUAAUAAUCUCUUUUAUAAAAAAUUAAAUUUUUUUUUAACAUGUAAUGAAUUAAAUAUAAUUUUUUUAAAACGCCAAAAAUUCAAGUUAAAACUAACGAAAAGUUGGAUCUAAAAAUAAAAUUUUGAGCUAAUUUAUUGUGGUGGAACCUUUUAUAAUGUUUUAAACAAGUAUGUAAAAAAUCAUUAAAAAAUUUAAAAUUUUAAGCAUAAUUAAACAAAUUUUAAUUUAACAAGGACUAAAAACAUUAACGGAAAAUUUUGUAGGGGCUAAAAAGUGUGAUUUAUUUUUAUAGGGACUAAAAACAAAACUGCAGAUAUUUAUAGGGGCCAAAAACUUAAUUAACCCUUGAUUUAAUUUAAUUCAAAAGCUCUUAUUAAUUCACUUAACAAUGCAUGUGAACCAUCCUUACACGAUCUUUUAUUCCAUGGUUUUGGUUUUCCGCUCAAACAUUUCUCCAAUCUAACGUGCUGUUUAUGCAAAUCAAAAUCCCACUAUUCGAGUGUGUAGUAGAUUAAUUGAAUCAAAGAUUAAAAUAUAAAUAUAUUUAACCUAAUUUCAUAUUUCAAUUAUUUGUCCACAAUCAUACACGUUAUUUUGACCCAUAGUUUGUUCAUCAUCUCUUCUCAUCGUCCAUAAAACUUAAAUUAAGUCAUUGAAUUGAAAAGGUUAUAUUGACACCAAAUUUCACGGUUAAUUUUUUACUCAUUAAAUGUGCUCACUUGAAGGCUCCUUCUUUUACUCUUUUUGUUUCAAUCUAUUCUCAUUCCUUUUUUUGAAGAAAAAAUGUUUUGCAUUCCCCCCUUCUUUUUAUUGUACGUUUUGGAUUCCCUUAUCUCCUACAAAUUGUUUGAAUUAUAUCUCCUGAGUUGGAUUUUAUAUGAAUUAUUUGAAUUGUUUAAUUCGAUGAUCAGCAUUUUUCGUACUCGUAAAAUCCACUCCCUUUAUUUUGUUGUUCAAAUCUCCAUAAGAAUUAAAACACAGUAACUCACAAGCUUUGCUUCAAAAUUUUAGAAUCAAAGAUUGCUACAAUUUUGGAAUUAGAAUUGCACAUCACACACAACUGCAUCUUUAAUUAUCAAAAUUUGUGAGUUAUUAUAAAUUUUCAAGAAAUAUAACAUUUUUAAGUUUUUAUAAAUUUUGCUUACAUGUUAGUUUUGAUGAUUGUUAGUGAUGAAUUAAUUUAGGAAUUGUUGUUUAGAUGUUGUUUAGAGUACAAUGUGGUAGUUUAGGGUUUACAUGCACAGAGUGUACGUGAGUUAACUCACGCAUGUGCUAAUGGCUGCGUGAGUUAACUUGCGUAGUGAUUUAUACAUGCGUUACUUAAGUAGCGCAAUGUUAGUUAACUAACGCAUUAAUUUACACUUGCGUUAGUUAACUAACGCAUGGGAAUUUUGGACAAGCCUGCAGGGCGCGAGCGAAAAGUGCAAGGGGAAGAACAAAAUUCUUUCAGAGAAGCAACUAGGAGAAGAAGGGACAAGCCCAUUUGAUUCAAUUCUACAAAGGUUAGCUGAGAUUCUAUUAGAAAAAUUAGCUCAGCUUAGUAGAAAACCUUUUUUUUUUUUUAUAGAGAGAACUUAGUAGAAAAACUAAAUUCCAAAGGCAAGGUCAUUCCAUUGUUGAUUUGAAGAUGAAGCAAGACAGUUAUAGAUCCUCGGCAACAUUACACUCUUACAUGAUUUUUAGCGGCUAAUGUUACUUUCUUUGAUGUGUGGAAUUGUUUAAAUCAUAUGGAUAUGAUUUAGCGAAAUAAUUAGAUUUGAUGUGUGGGAUUGUUUACAACACAUGGUUUCGCGAAAUAAUUAGAAUACUUUCGAUCAUGAUAUCUCGUUUCAAAUAAGUAAAAACUAGGUCGGUCCUAGCAUUUUACGAACAUAGAUAUUAGCCAUUUUCUUCUUAAUUUUCACAAAUAAUUGGCAUAUGAGAAAUACCUAAAAUAUUUGUCAUUAGGAAAAUUAAGAUUCAUUUCUUUAGUAGACUUAUUUUCAACUAGAAUAUCUUUUGACGUCUUAUCUAAAUUCUCCCAAUUUUUUGGAUCAUAACUAUCUAAAUGAGCAAUUUCAAUAUUAGAUGCAUUUGGUACAUCAUCAUCGAGAUAGGAGACAAAGGAUUUCGCACCCUUGAUGUGUUAUGCUGAUUUUGCGUUUCUGCAGAGUUUUCGUUUCUUAGUUUUGUUGUAUUGUGUUAAAGUUUGCUAACGUUUUGAAUAGCUAUACAAACCCCCUUUUGCAUUGGUAUGGGCCUUUUGAUGAAAAAAUCAUUUAAAGGUUGUUGGGGUUGAAGCUUUGGUAUUUGGGUCUUUUUUGUUAUUCACUAUAUACACCCCAUAUAAUUAUUUUGGGACCCCUACAGAUAUGGGUUCUACGCCAACGCACCCAAAAUCUAUGCCCAUGACUACGCCCGAGUAAAGAUCAAUUCCAUUUCUCAUAAGAAAUUGAGAGAACAACACAAAAAUUAUUGUGCUUAAGACCUUAGUGAUUCAUGACUGCAUGCAUAUUUAAUUAUUGUGCUUAAGAUGUAUUGCAAAACUUGAUUGUUGUAUAUGCAUUGUAGGCAUGACAAUGGAGUAAGGUGGGUACGAGUUUUACAUUCCUCGUUCUCAUACCUGAUUCUUAUAUACUUAUCCGUUAUCAUAUACAUAUUCAAUGGGGAUGAGAAAUUGAACCUCAUCCCCGUCACCAACGGGUUCGGGUAUCCCCGCCUCAUCCACAUCCCCGCAUUGAAUAUUUGUUUUUUUUAAUAAAAAAUAGAAGUUUUUUUGCAACCCUUAGAGAAAUGUUGUAAUGCAUUAUCCAACAAUAUGCUCACUUUAUCAUUUGUUAGACCGAUCGAUUUAGUUGCUCCUUUAAAUAUCAAUGGUAGUUUUUAUAACACGGCAAUUAUCAAACAAAAUAACAUGGCAUAUCAACAUAAAGUAAUUUUCUAGAUUCGGGACGAGUUUGAGUAUGGGUUCGGGGUGGGUACCUAUAUACCCGUUACCCGUCUCAUACACGUGUUUUAAAAUUUGGGAAAACUCAAACCCAUACCUAUACCCAUUCAAAACGAGGAAAACCCGUCAAAUUAAGUUUGGUUCGAACGAGUAACCACGGGUAUGAGUUUUAUUGCCAUGCCUAAUGCAUUGUCUCUAUUGAGGGAAACACCAACUAAUGGGUGUAUAUAGUUGUGAGGAUAAUGAUUCUUAAUUGAUUGAUUGUGGAUUUAAACAUGCAUAUCCAUGAAUUGGUUUGAGGUUAUUAAUGAUAUUUAAUUUUUAUCUUGCAUUUUUCAUGACUCAUGCAAGCCUUUAAAAAGUUGAUUUAAAAUGUUUUGAUUCAUCAUAAACCUAAUGAUACAUGAUGCAUCGUAGAAUUUAUUAGGUUUAUGCCUUUGAACUUAAUUUUUGUAGGACUUUGUUGAAGGACAAAUAAAGUUCUAGUUUAGGAAGAGUUUAUAAGUGUCAAAUUGACGUUGAUUUACUUACGUAUUUCAAGGGAUUUAUUAACUUAUUUUACAAAAGAGCUAAGAAAAACCCUAAUUCUUAUAAAUAUUAUAAAGGAUAAAAUAUGGUUUUAGUCCCUAUAAAUAUGGUUCGUUUUAGUUUUAGUCCUUAUAAAAAAAAAUUGUAGAAAAAAGUCCCUGCAAAAUAUUUUGUUUUUUAAAGUAGUCCCUGCCCCCACUUUGUCACCUUUGCGCAUACGUGGCACAUGAUGAUUGUGCUCAUUUUGUAGAAAAAAGUCACUGCAAAAUAUUUUGUUUUUUAAAAUAGUACAUACAAAUGGGACAAAUCAGCAAGAAAGUGGGUCUAGGGACUAUUUUAAAAAAUAAAAACUUUUUCAGGGACCUUUAUGAAUGAGAGCUAUGGAUUGAACGUCCUAAGCAACAAGUUGAAGAGAAGCAAAUCAAGCUAAUCACCUUUCGAGUAGAGCAGUGGCCUGGUGGUUCAAGUCAGAGGCUCGUGUUUUGAAACAGGGCAAAAUUGUCGAACUAAAAACUGGCUUGCCCAACAAGUGAUGGAGUUUUAAAACCCGCUUUUUUUUUUUUGGGGGGGAGAGAGAGAGAGAGGUAAAUCAAGUCAUUUGACGUAUUAUUUUGUCUUCCUCCUCUUGGUAUUGUAAGUUAUACAAUUACGUGUAACUAAUUUCUCUGCGUUGAUAUUAUGUAUAAUUGGUCAGGAAUCUAAUGUAAAUACUUGAUAUGGCUAAUUAUAUCUAAUUCAUAUUUCAUUUUAUCGAUAUCUUAUUUCUACAUUUAAUGUUUUUUUCGUCGUGUAACCUAAAAUUGACCUUUUGAUUAGGGAGUGGUAGACAUAGGCUUUCUUUGUAAGCGACAUGGGUAGAGAUAUUUGUAGAUGCUAGUUACAAGACAUUAGGAUAUGUUUUCAAUUACACGUAUUGCCGGAACAUGAUGUCAUUCUAUUAGCCAAUUGAGCAAGCCAUCAAAACUUAGAGAAUAGAACAGAUCUCAUGUUGUCUAUGAGACAUCAAGGUGUAUGAAAGACAAUAGGUGUGUAUAAAUGAAUUUUGAAAAGUAUAUAAUCGAUCAAGAAAUUAAUAACAUUAAAGGACUAACCAAUGUAGCUUAAUCCACACAUAACUUGUUAAUUCAUGAUUUAACACCAUUUAAAAUUUGUCACUAAAUCAAACAACUAUCUUUUUUUUAUGGUGAUGGGAAUUCGAACCCCGGACCUUACAUAUAUUAUGCAUUAUCCUUACCAACUGAGUUAAGCUCACGAGGACAAUCAAAAUAGUUGAACGGUUAAAUUACCAAGUCUCUUUGAAUCUUUCCUCAAAAAAGUAAUCUUUGUAGAUCUAUAAUCAUAAAUAUUUGAUAUUGAACUUUUCUUUAAAAAAAUCGUUCUAAAAAAAAUAUGAAAUACUAUAAAAAUUAUGGUAAAAAAAAUAUAUAACAAUCCGACACAAAAUUGAUUCUAGAAAUAUGGAAUUGAUUUUGAUUUGUUUGAAUGUUCCAAAAUGAAGUUGAUUUUAUAAUCUGUAGCGUUUAACUUUAAACACAAUUUUUACAUUAAAAAUCACUUAUCAACUUUAUUUUUACGUAAAUAUAUUCAAAUAUAAAUCACUCUGCAUUUCAUCCAUUUUUAUUAAUAUAAAUUUUUAUCAUUUGUAAAACCAAAUAAAAGAUAUUUUUAUAUGAUUACAUGACCAAAUGAAUAGAACAUUAAUACACAAAUUUAAAGAUUUUUUUUUUUUAAUAAUAGAAACGAAAUUGACAAAAAAUGAUUUAAUAUUUUGAGAAUAAAUCUCUUUAUACAUGCCAAAACAAUAUUUAAUUGGUCUUGUAAUAAUCUAUUUGGAUUGGUCCAUAAUGUUGAUUUUUAAUUUAAGUGUGCUCAUAUAAUUUUUAUCUGUAUCAAUUACGAUAGAUUGAUUUAACUUUUUUGAAAAAUUGGUCCGGUCAUGAUAAAAGAAUACCUGGCCAAAUAAAUGUUUAAUUGAUUUCUCCCUCAAAAAAGGUUUAUAUGAUUCCCAAACACAGUUCAAUGGCAUGGCAUGAGGGUUGUUUGCAAUUGCAUCAUUAACCCAGAAGUUGAAUUGUCAAGAUAGGAUUUGUCCGAUCGUGUCACAUGUGCAAGGUGACCCCAUGUUGCAUAAUUGGAUGAUUUCUUUUUCUUGACCAUAGAUCUCGCACCAGAUGUGACGUAACGUUGUCCUUUAUUCUAAGAAAAAUAUAUUAAAACAAAUACUGCAUUUUCCAUUAAAAAAAUAAUAAUAAUAGUGCACUUGGUUCCCCUCCCCACACACACACAUAUAUCGGAUCAAGAAAAAUGAAUGCAUUUUAUUUAAAUCUUAAACCGGGUAUUAGUAUUAGCAAGUAAAACUUGAUCGAUCAUUAUCUCAUCAAAAAACAAACCUAGAUUCUUUCAAACGAUUUAUCUUUCAAUAAAACUUAUUAACCAUUUAAACACAAAAAUUUAACUAGAUAUAUUUCUCUUAUAUAUAAAGCCAUAGAAAAUAGAAAUGAUAAAAUAUGUAAAAAAAAAAACAUUAAUUCAUUAUUGAUAUAUUAUAAAGAGUUGAUUUUUUUUUUCUUUUCCUAUAAACAUUAAUUCUCUAAAAAGUACUAUAUUUGUUGACAGGACCCGCGUUGUGCAAGUGUAACAAGGCUCUUGGCACAAAGGUCUCAAAUUUAGAGAAUCCUCAAAAUUUACAAAAAUAAAACUUAUAUAUACUGACAAAAUAUGUCACCAAAUAUCGUUUUUCUAUAGUUAAAAGUCUAUAAGACAACAAUUUUGUUGCCUAUUCAAGUAGCUUUUCCCCUUGUUUUUCCUUUGGUUUUUGUUUUAUCAACUAUUAAAUUUUCCUUAGUUCUCUUAUGUCACUUCUCGUGAUAGAGAGACUAAGUUUCUUGGUUAUUAUAUAUCAUUUUAGCUUCUUCAAAAAAAAGUUUAUAAGACAACAAUUUUGCUACCAAUUAUGCAUUGUUUAUAGGUAAAUAUCUAUUUGUUUGCAGUAAAAAUCAUGUUUGAACCAUUACUAAUUUAUUUAACUACAACUCAAUUGUUUGUCAGUAUAAGCGGUGUUGGAUUUUUUUUAAUUCUUUUUAAAUAAAAAUUAUCAAGAUUAUAACAAGGUCUUCAAAUUAUAAGGGAUGAUAAUGUUUGUUUAGAAGCUACUCUCAAGAACUUUUCAUUUGAAGCUAUUUUGUAAUUUCUCUUUAGGUUAUAUUUAAAAUAAAAUAAAAAGUUGUAACAAACAUAUAUAGUAAUCUUAAAAGUGAUUAUUCUAUAAAAAGAGAGAAGUUUUUUUUUCUUCAUACACAAAGCUAUACCGAAACAAUCUCGACAAUCUCUUAUUAAUAUGACCGUUUUUGUGAAACAGCAGGAGUAUUUUAAAUUUUUUUGUUAAUAAAUGUCUUUGAGAUACUUUAAGAAUCCAAAAUCAAUUAAUUACUCCUUAAAAAAGUUAAGUAUUCCAAUUUCUAUUGCAUUAAAUACAUAAUUUUUUUUUUUUAUAAAAAUUAAUCAUUAAAAUUCUUAAAGAGUGUAUCCAAGAGUAAAAAAGUAAAAAAUAAGUGCAUUGCCACAAAUAAAGAAACGACACCAAAUAAAUAUCAGCACGUAGUCCUUUGGUAGGUACAAUAUUACCAAAUAAGGAAACUGAAAGGGUUUAUUAGAAGAAAAAAUGACUCGUUCCACUCCCUACCUCCCAUGCCUGCCUAGUGCCCUCUAUUAUUGAUCGGGUUUCCCAAAACAAAAUAAAAGAUAAACAAAACAAAGCAAUAUUGCAACAUCACGUGAGAGGGGAUACAUAAUUUGUUAACGCCCGACAAGACUUGGAGUUGAACAUGCAAUGUGAAUAUGCUCAGCUGAGGAGCUAAACCCAUUGAAAUUGGUUCCAGAAGAAGUUGUAUAAGCACCCAUAUUUGGAAACACAAGCCAAUCAUUCACCUUAAGUUCAGGUAACUCAUACUCUUUAAGAACCGUAUCAACUGAAUCACAAGUGGGUCCAAAAACCGUUGAAGGGUAAGUUUUAGGAUCUUUGCAUAUAACAUUCUCAGGUUUUGAACCAAACCUAAGUGGCAUGCAUUUGACAAUAGCAUAAUCAAACACAAUGUUAUUAAGAGUUCCGUAAAUUCCAUCAUCGAUCCAAUACUCUCUCAUUUCACCUCUCACACGUUUCCCAAUAACUUUUGUUGCUAACGUAAAUGCCGUUUCCGCAAAGUAACGACCAGGUUCACCAAUAACAACAAGAUCUUCAUCAUUUCCGAAAUGUGUUUUUAUUGCAUCGUUCACGUUGAAUGCAGCUUCAUCAAAUUUGGAGCCAGAAGUGAACCCACCACCAAUAUCAAGAAUUUUCAUUUUUGGCAUUCCAAGCCGUGAAGCCGUUUCAAAAACUUCUUUAGCCAAUAAUAUGGCUCCGUGGUAGGCUUUUGCGUCGGCUCCUCCACUGCCUAUGUGAAAAGACACGCCGGUUACUUUAAGUCCAGCCAUGUCAGCUGCCUUGAGAAGCUCGGGAACUUCGUUAUGAAGCGCGCCAUAUUUGAGACCCAAACACGAACGUGCUCCGCUGUCUUCCUCCGGUUUAAUACGGAGGAGGAGCUCACAUUUUGGGUGCCAUUUUUUAAUUUUUUCGACUUCUCCAGCGCAGUCGAAAGUUGUAACAUUUACGCCAACACUUGCGGCAUACUUAAUGUGUGACUCUGAUUUACACGGGUUGGCAUAAAUGAUCUUGUCGGGUGAAACGCCAAGUGAUAAAACAGAUUCAAUUUCGGCACGGCUGGCGCAGUCAAAAUUGGAGCCGAGUGAAGCUAGUGUGCCUAUAAGUGAAAUAUUAGGGUUACACUUAACGGCAUAAAACGGCUUAACCGUUGGAAGUUCUGUGGUCCAUUUGUUCAUAAGAUCAAUUAUGACCCUUAAAUCAAGAACACUAAAUGGCGAGUCAUUUUCAGUUGGUUUGGUUUUAAUAAUGGAUUGAAUGAAAUCUGAGAUAGUAACCUCUGAGGACAAAGUUGUAACUUUGUUGCCUUUCACUCCUGAAGCACAAAAAAUGGGCUUCAAGUUGGUAAUUUGGGAUUGAGAUUCUUCGGUUACCAGUGUAGGCAUAUUUAGGCUUUUUCUUGAGUGCUUAGUAGCUUGAAAAGGUGAUAGAAAAGGAAAGAAGCAAUGUAGAAUAAUAAUUGGUUUGGAUGUUGGAGCUAGAAUGCAGAAAUGAUCGUAUAUAUAUACACAUGAUUAAAGAGGUAAGAGAAGAUUACAAAGACAAGGGAAGAUAUGACACAGGCUGUGAAAUUCCGCCAUCGCCACGUGAAUCAUUAGCGUCUGGCCGCAUAUUAUGUUACAAUAAUUUUUUAAUACUACUUGCACCUUCAAUAACAUCAAGCUUGUCUAAUGAAUAAAUCUGACUAUAGAAAUUUAGUUUUAACUAUUACAUCAAAGUUUUUUCUAGAUUACCUUUGAAGAAUGGUGGAUAAUUUACCCACCAACCAAUGAAAAUGAGCAAUUUGUUAGUGGGGUCAGGAUAAUUCAUGGAUACCACUUAAAAAUGUGCUUAUGUGGUUAAUGUGUAUUGGUUGAGGUAAAUUACCUGGUUUAAUUUUUUUAGAGAAAAACUUGUCUUACUUAUACAAAAUUGAAGAAGUUAUUAUUUCAUGUUAUACUUAUAUAUAUAUAUAUAUAUAUAUAUAUAUAUAUAUAUAUAUAUAGGCAAAUUCUAUGGUACAUGGACAUACGAGCCCUUAUACAUAGAUACAUUUAGGUGGCAUACACCCUUUAACACCCACACACAAUCGUGACAUGUGGUAAAAACAUGGAAAGAAGAGAUGAGAGGGGGUGAUGAUGUGAUGUAAAAUUGCUAAAAUACCCCUGACAUAUGGUGUAUAAAAGAGGAUGUCUAUCUAUCUUUUUCCUAUAUAUAUUGAGGUGAAUUAUUUGUAUAAAAUGUAUAGGACAACUUCUCUAUAUAGACACAUACGAUAUUAAAUAUAUCAUCCGAUCAUUAUUAUAAUAAAAAAAAUUAUAUUUAAAUUUAUUUAAUUAAUGAUAUAUAUUGUCUUUAUUAUAGACCCCAUACAUUAUUUAAUGAAUGGAUAAAAAAUAUUUAUUUUUGUCUAUAAUAGGACCAAAUUAUGAUCCUCUGCUCUUCGGGGAACCAAAGUGGAGCACAUAAAAUAAUACAUGCUUUCUUUCUUCUUGCAUUUUUACCAUCCACACACCCAAUAUAUUUUUUUUUAAAUACGACAGAUUUUAUUGAUAAUCUCCUAGAUCGAUCACAAGAAGAAAUCGGAAAGAGGGAAAAAGUUACAAGGACACUGUUAAAGCAUGAAAAGGAACGACGACAGAGAACCAACAAAAACACCUAUGGCCAAAGAAAUACAGUAGAGCUUCCCAUCCAAGUCAGAUUCCUCAAGCAACAAGUCAUUAAAACCAUUAGCAACAAGUCACAUAGCAGCAUCAACAAAACAGACUGUUGUUCAAUCGAGAAAAGGUUGUAUUGUAUCUAUCCUCAUGUACUAUUUUUCUCUCAAAUUAUUUCUUCAAUUCAGAGAGUUUGGCCAAAUUAAAAUUUAUUUUAUAGUAAACAAAUAGAAACUAAUUCUUGCUUCAAACAAAAUAGAAAGGACUUCGAAAAGUACAGCAUGUGAGCAAAUUAAAAUAGUAUGUUGCGCGCGAAUCACAUGGAUAAUAUUAUCAUUCCUUUAUAAAAAAAAACUACUUAUAAUAAUCAUGUAUGAAGAAGAUAUGUAACUUAAACAACACAUAUUGAAUGAAUUUUCCCCAAAAAAAAAACACAUGUUGAAUUUCAACCGUAGGUUAAUAUUGCAUGGACAGUUGUAUUAGUAUAAGUAAGUAACUAACUAUAUUGUUCUUCAGCUUCUUGUCUAUAAUUUUCACAUUAUUUUACACUAACGUUUUUACGAUAGAAGAAACUUUUUUCUUUUAUUUUUACAUUUUAUUUAGAUUAUUUUAUUCUUCAUCUAAAACUGGUUAAAUUUCACUGCAAUAGAAAAAAUAACAAUACAAUAGAACGCUAUUGGACAUUAUAAAAACAACUUAUUUUAAUUUUAUUUGACAAGUUUCGUUAAGUGCAACAUAAAAAUGGACAAACAGACACAUUAAUGAUCAUCUUUUUACCAAUACUAUAUAAUGGAUAUAGUCUGUAAUAUUUAACUCACAUAAAAAAGUCAAUACUGUGUGUGGAUUUUGUAAAACUACUCUCAAUCAUUUUUUGAAUAAUAACACCACAGGCGGCUUAGAGUCAUUUUUUGACUGGACUUUUUUUUUUUUAAUAGAAGACUGGACUUCUAUCUUGGACGUCAAAAUAAUACAAAAUAUCCUUUGCUUUUCUGUUUAAUUAAAAGUGUGAAUAAAUUAUAAAUCUAAAUGAAUCAGGAUUGGGUGGCAAUAGAGGUUAAACUUUUUAGACAUCACACACACUCUUUUGUGAUUCAAUGUAAUAGCUGCAGCGAUGGCGCAUCGUUAAUAAGAUAACAUUCUGUUUUGGGUUUGGUUGGUUGUUCAACGAUAGUUUAUGGUUGGUUUAAAUUUGCCGCCAUCUAUGACAACCACGGCUAAUUCUUACAAAACCGGCUUGUAAGGUGAGGAUUGCCUCCUCUUUAUAUACUCUUGUCAAGAGUCUUAUCUAUCCGAUAUGGGACUUGGAUUUUUCCCAAUACAACCCCAUCACACCUAGCACUCUCUGGGCUUGGUGCGUGAAUAGGUUUAGGCGGCCCUUGAAUUCGACAAGCUCUGAUACCAUAUUGAAAUUUAGGGCAUAACUCAUCCUUACAUAACCGGCUUGUAAGGUGAGGAUUGCCUCCUCUUUAUAUACUCUUCUCAAGAGUCUUAUCUAUCUGAUGUGGGACUUGGGUUUUUCCCAAUAGGAGGUUUGUUUAAUUGUAUGGUCGUUGAUGUUUUAUGGUUUUGAAGUCUCUUUGUGACUCCUUCCUCUUCAUCAAAUAUGUGGCGGUCUUAUGGUGUUCGUGAGUUUGUUUGAAGGUGUAGGUUUGUGGCGGGCGGGUGUCACCGCUACAUUGCCUUGCCAUUUAUAGCCAUGAUGCUUACUAUGUGUUUCAGCAUAGUGAGUUGUAGAUACGUCUUGGAGUUAUGAUCCUUCGCCUUUUUGAAAAUCUUGAUUCAAUGUUCUAAACAUUCACAUACCUAUUUCUUUUAUAAUUUGGUUUUGAUCUUGGAUGUAGACUCGUUGGAUUGUGCAUUGGUGUGUGGAGUUUUACUUUAAAUUGUGAUUUGUUGUUAUCAUACCUUUUAGAUUGGUUUGUCGUUCUAUUACCCACUUGUUAAAAAAAAAAAUAACAAUGUUUUGCAUAUAAAAAAAAUUAAUGAUGAUAAUUUUUUAUUUAACAUCUUUAAAUAUUUUCAGUAUUAUUGAUAUAAUUAUUUUUUAUAAUGUUUUGCGAUCCAUGCAUAUCAUUUAUUAGUUUAUUUAUAAUGACUCAUUUUACAUGUAUUUCCCCCCUCCCCCCAAAUACAGCUAAGGUUCGUGAUAAUAAUUGACUUAUGUGGCGAACCAGGCUAUCAUAAAGAUUUGCUUUUUCCUUAAUAUAUUGGAUAUCGUUGUAGAUAAUAAUGGAUAUUCGGUCACUGUAAAUAAAAUUAUGGAUAUUCGAUCUGGUUGUUGCAACUAGCUCAAAAGAGACCCAAAUUCUCUUUUUGUUCUGCAAUUAUUCCAUUAUUUUCUAUUCUGGGUAAAGAAUUAAAAAACUUGUGUUGAAAAUAACAAAUAAUCUUUAAUAGAUCUUAAACAAAUUUAAUAAAAAUUAUAAAAAUCCAGAAUGUAAACCACUGCUUUGAUUUGAACUCUGAACAUUCAAAUAGGCUACCAAUUUUUUCAAAUUAUUUUUAUAUGUCGGUCACUUCUUUUAAAGUAUUAGCAUGAAUGGCAAACUCAUGAAUCACAUGACCUUCUUUUUAAGGAGUGAAUCACAAGACUUGUUAUGCUUUUAAAGUGAUAAUGUAUAGUAUUAUAUUUUUGGUGGAAAACACGGUAAGUUGUGGUGGGUGGAAUAAGCCGUUUAAUAUCUUUUGUGGAUUUUCAUUAAAAUAUUGCUCGUAACAAUGAUCAUUUCCGUUCAAUAAUCAGUUUGGUUUGGAGGUUAUUUAACACUUCUCACGUUUCAAGUGCAGAAGAUAUGCCAUAAUUUUACAGAAGCUAUGUCAAAUGUGCAGAAAUUCGGUAUUCCACCACAAUAGCAAGCAUACACAAAGUAUUAACAAUAGGGAAAUGUUAACAAGUAUACUUAAGAUAUUGUUUAAUAACUUUGAAUAGUAAGUUUUUGUCAAAGUUUAUGAAAUCAAUGCAUUAGAAAUUUAAGUUUUUGAAUUUUUUAAAGAAUAAUUUCUUUAUUAGAAAUCUUUAAAGAGUGUCCUUAAGGCACUCGUUAAUAAGGUUCAUUUAUGUUAAUUUUAUUCUUACACUAAUAAUGACGUGUGUACAAUUGAAAAAAAAAAAAAAAAAGUAAGUGAAUCAAUCAAAGGUAAUGAUAUAUUUGGCAUUUGCUUUUAAUACUCUAGAAGAUAUUUCCUCGUUUGAACAAAUCAAUUUAAAUUUAGAAUUAGAUUCUCUCAAUUUAUUUAUUGGUUAAUCUAAUGGGUAAAAGGAUUAAAAAGUCUAAAUUAUUAAAAGAAAAUCUACUAAGGGAAUGAUUUGGGUUAAGAUUCUCUCCAUUUAUAAUUUUUUCUAUUUGUUGCAAUUUGGAGAGAGAUAGACAAAAAAAAAAGUGGUGGGUUCUGUCAUUAAGUGGAUUCCACCAUCAUUAUUUUUUUAUGUUUGUCUCUCUCCGGAUUGCAACAAAUGGAAAACGUUAUAAAUGGAGAGAAUCUUAACCCGUUGAGGAGUGUCAUCGACAAAGUUUGAACUUCGAGAUGUGGAAAAUCAGGUGGAUCCUUGUCGUGGAAGGAAAAUUGAGCUCGUUGGUAGCGAGUCCAAUACAUCAAAGGAUCUGGUAAGGGUCGUAGAACCAUUUCACCGACUUAUGAGACACACGACAGUGGACAGAGAUUGGGCGGUAGUUGAAGCCUGAGAAAAAUCCAUUGUCCCAUGUUAAAGGACUUGUCUUGACGAUAGAGAUUAGUUUGAUGUAUCACACCAUUCUGAGCCUCUAUGACAUUGAUUUUUAGGAGGCGUAGAUAUGGCAUUUGUGAGUGAGAAAUUCAUACAACGUUCCUAUUUGGGAUUUUCCAGGGCUGGCCAUGGGCAUAGGGCGGGGAUGUGACGGCCUAUCCCUAGGUCCUAAGGCCCCAGUUUUAUAUAACAAAGCUAAGGUUAUAGUUGGGGUGUAUAUAUCAAAUCAUAUUUGUGGGCCAAAAUCCAAACCCUUAUCUUGACCCAACUCUUAAAAAACAAACAAAAAAACCCAUUUUGUGCAAUUGGAAUGGAAAUUUGUUGUCACACAGUAUUUGGCUGAAACACACCAGUAAAAUACUGAAAUACCUCUUCGGUAGUUAAUUGCCGCAGAAGUUAAUCGGCGGUAGUUAAUGCCGCAGAAAGUCAUUAUUAAUAUUUAUUGAUUUUGGUUGUUUCAAUCAUUAUUUUGACACAUUUCAAACGAUAUAUACCUUAAUAAGAAUGACAUUUAAAUUUUGACUAACAAAAUAAAGAGCAUCUAAAUCCUCUUAAAAAACAUUUCAAUACGUUUUAAAAUUAAGCAUUUGAAUAUUGUUUUGUACAUUACUUACAUAAAUAAAAAAUGGUUGUGCACAUGUGUGAUAUAGUUUAUAAUACUGAAAAUUGGCAUAAAUGGGAAGAAUAAAACCAAAAAAUUGAAGAACACGAGCAUUGUUUUCAUAAAUAUCACAGUUGUUAAUAUCAUAUAUCAUUUUAGUUUAUUAAAAAAAAAUGAAUUUUAUUACUCUUUGGAACUUUUCGUCUCAAAAUGAAAAUUAAUUUAUUGUGUACUUCCCAUUUAUGCCAAUUUUAACAUGAAAGCAAAUUAAAAUGGGCGGAAAUGCAAAUCAAUUUAUACUGUCAGAAUGAUAAGCAUGUGCAUAACAUUUUUUUAUUUAAGUAAUGUGCAAAACAAUAUUCAAAUGUUUAAUUUUUAUAUUUAUUAAGAUAUUUUUUUAGAGGAUAUAAAUGCUCUUUAUUUUUUUUAGUCAAGAUUUAAAUGUCAUUCUUUUUUUACAAGUUUAAAUGUCAUUUUUUUUUUGUAUAGUUUAAAUGUCAUUCUUAUUAAGGUAUAUAUUGUUUGAAAUGUACCAAAAUAAUGAUUGAAACAAUCAAAAUUAAUAAAUAUAUUAGGGAAAAUUGCACUCACCUACCUUAAGGUUUCAUUGAAUAUCAAAUACACCCCCUCUAGUUUUAAACUCAACAAUAACCUCGCUUAAUUAAUUUUUCAAUUGACACAUACCCCUUCUAGUCUAACGGCGCUUGCCCUCUGUUAAAAAACAAUAAUUCUUCCUCACAAUUAAGUAUUCCCUUGGCAAUUGGUUCAAGCUUAUAAGUGUUGAGAUUAAAAUAGUUGAUGUUUAUCAUCUUCAUGUUACAUUUCUUUAAUUUCAAUCAUUUCUUUGAUUUCAAUUCCUUUUGUAAUUGGAUUUUCGAUAGUUGGAUUUUGAAAUUAUGUGCUUGAUAGUUAUCAUCUUCCUGUCUUUGCUUCAAAUUCGAUUUAUUGACAUUCCACUUCAAAUAUUCAUUUUCUUAUUUCCUCUGUCACCAGCAUUCUAAACAUUUGGUUCAAUUUCCAAUUUUCCGGGCAAUUAUUGUUUAAAUGGUAUCUUUAACAUUUCUUUUGGAACCCUAAAUAUGGAACAAAUUGACAUGUUUCAGUUUCUCCAUCGUUGAAAAUGAAUCGAUCGGAACCACAACAAUAGAAAUCUUAUACAAAAUUGAUUUUCUCUGAUUUGUUUGAUGAUGCAUCUUGGCCUUGACUUGUGAAGCGUCUUUGGUUGAUUUGGUGUUAACCUCAAGGGAGGUAAGUGUUGAGUUUAAAACUAGAGGGGUGUAUGUGAUAUUCAAUGAAACCUCAAGUGAGUUGUGUGCAAUUUGCCCUAAAUAUUAAUAAUGACUUUCCGCGGCAGUUAAUUUCCGAAGUUCCGCGGUAGUUAACUACCGUCGGUUAACUUGCCGAAGGAAUAUUUUGGUAUUUUACUGAUGUGUUUCAGUCAAACACUAUGUGUGAACAGUAAAUUUCAUUGGAAUGACAGAUGGAAAAAAAAUCUAGAAAGGAAAACCAACACUCAAAAAAAUGUAAGAAAACCAUUAUCAAAAAUCAUUUUCACCUAUUUUUAGAUGUUCAAUUUAGUUCCAGUUAUUCAAUUUUCAGCGUAAAAACCCUUCAUUCUUGUAUAACCUUGUAUAUGUCUUAAUCUGCCUCAUCCAAGCCUGUAGGUCAAGGUUUUACAACUCGAGAGUUUACCUCAACUCGUUUUAGCUAUGUAAAUUCGAAUCGUAAACUCGUACGAGUUUACCUAAAAUUAAAUUAUAUAAAAUUUAUUAUACAUAUAACAUAUGUAAGCUAAUAUUUAAACAAAACAUAACCAAUUAACCACAUUUAAAUAAUAAACUCUAACAAUAAAAAACAAAAUUUAUCAGUACAUUUAAACUCUGUUUCAUCUUCAACUGUAACUUUAACUUCAAUUGUUCCAUUUUAUCAUUUAAAUACUUGAGCAGGUAAUAUAUUUGAAUGAUUUCAAAUAAAUCAAUAAUAACAAGCUUCUGAAUGCAUUGUCUAAAAUUCAAUGUAUGUCAUUGUCACACAUUGGCGUAGCUUCUGUACAUAACAAGCAUGGAAAAAACGAGUUAUGUUAACCGUAAAGGCAACAUUUCAGCACUUUGGGAUUGAAAAACGAAUUGGAUUUUGAAAGAAAAUGAGAUAAAAAAAUAACCAAAAUAAAAAAAUAAAAAAAUUCAAAGGUAAACUCGGACGAGUUUACUCCGAGUUUACACAAGUUUACCGAGUUUAACACGUGUUAACUCGUCAAACUUUCCGAUUUCACCAAAAACUGAGUUUACCUCUGAGUUUAUACGUUUUUGCCACCUAAAAACGUUAACUCAGACGAGUUUACGAGUUAACACUCGAUUUUUAGAACAGAGCCGUAGGUCAUGCAAUUCAAAAAAUUUAAGAGAAGUAAGCAACCCUAUAUAUGACAAUACUUAUAUGCACCACUUUUUUUAACACAUUUUUUCCAACAUUCAUUCAUUUAUUGAAUAUAAUACAUAUUUGUCCCAUCAUUUUUAUGUGGGUCCUAUGAAGUGUAACACCCUAUUUUAUUAUUUAUUUAUUUUAUUGAGUUUAGAUGUAUUUUUAUAAUUUAGUCGAUUUAUUUUGAUGAGUGAUAUUUUGUUAUGUUAUAUGUUGGUAUUUAUUAGUAGAAAUAUAUAUGUUAUCUGGUGUAGAAAUAUAUAUGUUAUCUGGUGUAGAAAUAUAUAUUUUAUAGAAAUAUAUAUUUGUUAUAGAGAUAUAUUUGUUAUUUGUUGUAGAAAUAUUUUAUAUUAUAUAUAUAAUAAUGAGAUUGGAGGGCAAAUUUGGAAAUAAGAGAAAAUAAGUAGGAUAAGGAUUUAUAUAAAAGGGGGGAGUUAGAAUUAGAAAUAAGGAUUAUGUGAAACUGCUUUUGAGAGAAAAGGGAGAAAGUGAGAAGUCAAGAGAAGAGUCAGAGAAGAGAAAGCGGUAGAAUCUUGUAGAGUCUGAUCAUCUAAUCUAAGGUAAGGGUGGGACUAACCUUCUUUAAUCAUAAAUAUGUAAUCCUGAAAAAGGGUUUAACCUUGUAGUUGUUAAUAGGUUUUGAUGUUGUAGAAUUAGGGUUUGAAACUAAAAUUGAUCGUAGAAAGAGUAGAUAAUCCGAUGAAUUAGGUUGAUAAUUGGUGAAUUUCUAAAAUAAUGUUUUGGGUCAAGUUUUAUAUGGUUUUGAGUGCCUUAUCAUGUAUAGAAAUGGUUAGACAAGUUUUGGAAUCAAAUUUGGGCAUUGGGAAGUCAAAAUUGGGAUUUUGGGGUGAAAAAUGGGUUUUUCCCGAGAGCUGCACAGUGACAGCAUCUCAUGUUUCAUGUUCUUGCGUCUUUUUCACACGUUUCCGUUUUGAACUGGGUUUUGGUGUAAACAUAAAAGUUGUAGAUAAUUUUGUUAGAUUUCCAAUGAUUUUGGUUUGACUUGAAAAUGAUUUUUGUUUUUUGAGAUAUGAUGAAAAUACUCCAAGGAGAUCUUAGUGAAAUUUUAUGAAAAUUCAGCAUAACUGUUUCUAAGUUAAUCCAAAACUUAUGGAAUAAUUCCAAACCUCAAAACUAGAAGUACUAGGGGUUCAAUUAAGGUGUUUAAGAGUAUUUAACAUAUGAUUGAUGAAUUAUUACAUGAAUGUACAUGUUGAUGAAUAUGAUGUUACGUGAUAUUGUUCAUAAUUGAUGAAUUAUAAUAUUAUGAUGCAAAGUCGUUGUUGUUGUCGUUGCCGCUGUUGUCGUCAAUGUCGUUAAAGUUGUAAGUUGUUGUCUAAGUUGUUUAAGUUGUUGGUUGGUGAGUCCAUGCAUACUCAUAUUAAGUUGAGGGCUUGAUGCUCUAGAUUGUAUAAUCAUUCAUUUAAAGCUGAGGGCUUGAUGCUCUGGAAUGUAUAAUCAUUCAUUUAAAGUUGGGGGCUUGAUGCCCUGGUUGGUACCACAUGCAUGAUUAAGAAGUUGAAGUUGCAUUUGUCGAGUUUAAGUUGUUGAAGUCGCAUUGUCGUUGUCGUUAAGUUGUCAUUUAUCAAUGAGUUGUUAAGGAAGAACUAUGUGAAGUAUUAAUAUUUAUUAAUCGUUGUUGUUUAUGUUAUUAUAUGAUGAUGUUUAUGAUGUGAAGUAUAUGAUGUUAUAAGAUGAUGUUUAUGAUGUGAUGUUUAUGUUAUAUUAUGAUGAUGUUUAUGAUGUGAUGAUUAUGCUGUUACAUGAUGAUGUUAUGAUGUGAUGAUUAUGUUGUUAUAUGAUGAAUGUAUAUGAGGUGAUGAAUAUGAUAUUAAUGAUGACUAGAAGUUGAUCGAUGAUUUAAUGAAGUAUUAUAUGAAGAGUUAAUGUUAUUAAUUGAUGAAGCUUAAGUUGUUAAAUGCAUUUGAUGAAUUAUAUGCUAAUUAUUAUUGAAUGUGAAAUCUCACCCCUUCUGAUUGGAAAUGUUGCCUUUACAAUUGGGUAACUUGCAGGAAAUCAAGAAUAGUUGUUGAAGUGAGAUGACUCUCUCACGUGUCGUCGUCUUAGGGUCGCUCUGAUACGUAACGGGAUUGAGAUUUUCUUGUUUUCCAUGUGUUACAUAUUUAUCAUGAUUUUAUGUUGAAGUUUUGUUUAAAUUGGAUUUUAAUUAAGUUGUUUAAGUUGAGGCCGUUGUGCCAACAUAAUGUUGUACUUAGUUGUUUUCCGCUGCAAUGAGAUUUAAUUUGAUGACAUAUGAUGAUUGAAAUAAAUAGUAAUUUUACUAUAUUCAUAUUUAAAAGAAGUGUAACAUCCUGUUUAGUUGUUUUACUUUGAUUUAUGCAAAAAAAAUUCAUGUUGAGAAAACGGGAUGUUACAUGAAGCAUCUAACCGUAAACUCUACUUUUAAAGAAUUUAAUCAAUUACAAUAAAGUAUUUAGUCCAAAAGUUCAGAGAAUUUGUAAAAGAACUAUUAAAAGGCUUGCAUAUUUAACCUCUAAUUAAUUUUUUUUUAUAAACCUUUAAUUAAAAUCAUGUAAUGUGAAUCAUAUGGAUGCUAUUUUUUUUUUUGACAAAGUCAUAUGGAUACCAUUAUAAUUGUAAGUUGUAACAUAUGCUUAAAAAAAAUAAAGCUCAUGUAAGCAUAAAGAUUCAUAGCACGUCCUUUCAUCUUUGAUUCUUGACACUAAUUAUGAAUUACUUGAAUUCACCAAUUUUCUGAGCUCGCACAUACCCUUUGAUUUUAACCAAUCAAACUUUAUUUUCAUUGAUCAUUGUCUAUCUAGUCUAUUUUGAAAGACAAUAUCAAUCGAUUUACUCAUGUAUAGUGAAUCAUUUCACUAUAUCCAGAAAGUCUAUCUAGUCAAUUUUAAAAGACGUGAAUUAAUUCAUAUUGCAUUAUGAAUCAUUUCAUUGUAUGCAGAAACUUAAAAGACAUGAAUUUUGAAUGAUUACUUAGACUUUGCCACUUCGGUAAUAAAAUCAUUGAGAGACAUUCAUGUACAUUCAAUUCUAAAUAUCAUAGUUUCGAAAAUGGUAUAUACUGUAUGUGUUUUUCUCUUGUUCAAUUACUUCAAUUUAUUUUACUUAUGUUACUAUGGUUUGUAAUUAUGUUGCAAACAUUAUUUCUUGAGGAAACUCUGAGUUAUGACUCAUUUAAUGAGAUUAUUGCAAAUUGUUUAACCGAACCAAGAUUCCUUCAACGACCUCAAAUUGGAUAAUCUGUAUUGUAUUAUGACUUCAUAAGAGUUUUCAUAUUCUCUAAAAAAAAAAGAGUUUUCAUAUAUUUCUCUCAAAAAAAAAAAAAAGAGUUUUCAUAUAUUCUAACUUUCGAACAAACACUAAGAGAAAAUAUGACAUUGCCGGCCGACAGAAGCCCCUAUAAACAAUCAAAAAGCCUCCAUAAACGAACAUUUCCGGCAACUUUUUGGUCACUGCUUAAUCAUCUUUUGAAACCGUUUCAACGGCCUUUUCUUGAAGAAAAAAAUCGCCGUAAAUUACCAGCUGCUUAAUCCACCACAAAUAGGAUUUUUUUUUUUUUUUUUAUAUUAGAACAUUAGCAGCGGCCAAAAAACCGACGUCGCCAAAAAAUUACCAAAGGUCAGAACUGUUUUUUUUUUUUUUUUUACAAACCAAAGGUCAAAACUCAAAACUGUUGAAAACAAGUAACAUAGUUAAAAAUAAAAAUAAUGUUAUUAUGAUAGCGGGGGCCGAAUUAAUUGUGACAAAUGAAUUAUCAGGAAGAGGUUUCGAUUUGGUAGAAUGUGAUAUUGUUGUAGUUGUAUUUUUUAAACUUGUUUAGUUGAAAAUGCAAUUUCCAUUUUAUUUGUUUCAUUCUUUAUAGCUUCCACUUCUUUCUCUUAUAUAUAUUUUUUUAAAUCGGCAAUUGCAAAGGAAAACGGAGGCCGCAAAAGCACUGGCACACCCCCAAAAACCGAACAGCAAGCCCAAAAAAAUUACCCACAGAAUCAGUAUGUCCAUUGUAGUUUUCAUUUUAAGUUUAAGAAUCUUAUCUUGAUAAUUCAUUUAUCCCUCUUAUUUGAACCAUUAUAAGUUUAUGAUGAUAUUAGAAUCCUAGUAAGAAUUAUUUUAUUCACUUCAAUGGAAAAUAUAUGAAAAUAUCGUAAGAAAUUGUAGAGAGAAGAAAAUUGUGAAAAAUAAGUGUGAUAAAAGGAGAGAAUGUUUACAGGACACAAUAGGAGCUCCUUCCAAGGACGUAUUCGGGGAAUACCGGGUUCGAUUCUCAGGGUGAACAACACUUGGCCAGUGCGCCUGUCUCUACGCAUGAGCCGGAUUAGUCGUUCACCUUUGAUGGAUCGGAAACCGGUGCGAAAACCAAAAAUAUAUUGGUUAAAUGGAAGAUACUAAACUCACCCUUGAUAAAAUUAAAUCUUAGUGAAGAGAAGUACUCACAUUUAAUCUAAUAGACUUUAAAUAAGAUUUCAACCAAUAUAGAAUAGAAUUUCCCCUAAAAAAAUUAAUAAUAGAAGAGAGCGGAUUUAAAUCUUUUACUACCAUUUCUCUCAUGUUGCUGUGUUGCACUCUCAACCAUUAAGUCCACCUGUUUUUUCUCCUUCAUUUGUAUUUUUUUUUUUUUUUGUGAGUAAUCAACCAUUAGAUUAAGAAAAGGAGGAUGGUUAAACAAAAAAAAAAAAAAAAAAAAGAGGAUCCAAUUCCAAAGAGAACGUGUGAAAAACUUAAAAUAAAUUAAUAUUCAGAAAUUGGCUAAAUAUUAUGCGAGGGCAACGAAUAUUGUGUCGUGCCAUUUAUCAUUUUCCAUAAAAUAUAGUAGAAAUUCGUAAAAAGUUGAAAACUUGAUUAAAUAAAGACUGAUAUACAAAUAAUAAAAGUUUCAUGCCAAGUAUAUGGCAGUGAUAGCCUACACGGUAUAAGUUGACAAGGCAUCAACUAUUAUAUUAUUGGUUGAAUGAAAUAACUUUUCUAACACAAUAGUUGACAAGGCAUCAACUAUUACAUUAUUUGUUGAAUGAGAUAACUUUUCUAACACAAUCAAUCUCCAGGACAGCAAUGUAAAAGCACCCUUUGAUCAAAACAUGAUCAUUUAUUCUUGCCCGACAGAACUUGAACAUGCAAGGUAAAUGUCCUUUGCUGUGGAGCAAAACCCAUUGAAAUUGGUUCCAGAAGAAGUUGUAUAAGCACCCAUAUUUGGAAACACAAGCCAAUCGUUCACCUCAAGUUCAGGUAGCAUGUACUCUUUUAGAACCGUAUCAAUGGCAUCAAGUGGGUCCAAAAACUGUUGAAGGGUAAGUUUUAGGAUCUUUGCAUGUAACAUUAUUAGGUUUUGAACCAAACCUAAGUGGGAAGCAUGUGGGAAUAGCUGAAUCAAAUAAAAUAUUAUUAAGAGUUCCUUAAAUUCCAUCAUUGAUCCAAUACUCUCUCAAUUCACCCCGCACACGUUUUCCAAUAAUUUUUGUUGCUAAUGUAAACGCCGUUUCUGAAAAGUAACGACCAGGUUCACCAAUAACAACAAGAUCCUCGUCAUUUUCGAAAUGAGUUUUUAUUGCAUCGUUCACAUUCAAUGCAGCUUCAUCAAAAUUGGAGCCAGAAGUGAAUCCACCGCCAAUAUCAAGAAUUUUCAUUUUUGGCAUUCCAAGCCGU
This 22667-nucleotide long non-coding RNA is filed under the name Medicago truncatula (barrel medic). RNAcentral's name for it is "long non-coding RNA (MTRU_LNC001300)". The record is from RNAcentral. Lineage: Eukaryota; Viridiplantae; Streptophyta; Magnoliopsida; Fabales; Fabaceae.